This 496-nucleotide ribosomal RNA is filed under the name uncultured bacterium. Its description in RNAcentral is "partial 16S ribosomal RNA". It matches the Rfam family "Bacterial small subunit ribosomal RNA", at positions 29 to 507 of the family's 1533-position model. The record is from RNAcentral.
AUGAACGCUGGCGGCGUGCCUAAUACAUGCAAGUCGAGCGAACAGACGAGGAGCUUGCUCCUCUGAUGUUAGCGGCGGACGGGUGAGUAACACGUGGAUAACCUACCUAUAAGACUGGGAUAACUUCGGGAAACCGGAGCUAAUACCGGAUAACAUGUUGAACCGCAUGGUUCAACAGUGAAAGACGGUCUUGCUGUCACUUAUAGAUGGAUCCGCGCCGCAUUAGCUAGUUGGUAAGGUAACGGCUUACCAAGGCAACGAUGCGUAGCCGACCUGAGAGGGUGAUCGGCCACACUGGAACUGAGACACGGUCCAGACUCCUACGGGAGGCGGCAGUAGGGAAUCUUCCGCAAUGGGCGAAAGCCUGACGGAGCAACGCCGCGUGAGUGAAGAAGGUCUUCGGAUCGUAAAACUCUGUUAUUAGGGAAGAACAAAUGUGUAAGUAACUAUGCACGUCUUGACGGUACCUAAUCAGAAAGCCACGGCUAACUACGUG